RNAcentral lists this ribosomal RNA (253 nucleotides) under uncultured bacterium. RNAcentral describes it as "partial 16S ribosomal RNA". It matches the Rfam family "Bacterial small subunit ribosomal RNA", at positions 524 to 776 of the family's 1533-position model. The record is from RNAcentral.
UACGGCGGGGGCUAGCGUUGUUCGGAAUUACUGGGCGUAAAGCGCGCGUAGGCGGACUGGCAAGUCGGGGGUGAAAGCCCGAGGCUUAACCUCGGAACUGCCUUAGAAACUGCGGGUCUAGAGUCCGGGAGAGGAAGGCAGAAUUCCUAGUGUAGGGGUGAAAUUCGUAGAUAUUAGGAAGAAUACCAGUGGCGAAGGCGGCCCUCUGGACGGGUACUGACGCUGAGACGCGAAAGCGUGGGGAGCAAACAGG